CCCAAGCCUGAAUUUCACAGAUUUAUGGGCAAAGAAGAACAGGUGACCAGACUGCAGGGUGAAUGGUCACCUUAUCUCACGAGGUUGAGCUGUAGAAAGAGCAGCUCAUAGACCGGGCAGAGCAAGUGACCUCCGAAAGGCUUCACUGCUUGCUGAGGUGACGAACAAGCAGGAAACAGCAGGAUUGGCAGCUCUCUGAAUGAAAAGACUAAAGAAAGACUGCAAAAAUGAAAAGGGGAAGUGGAGGAAGACAGAAAAAUGCCUGGCCCAGCAAGAGAGAUGACCUCCAGACUGCAGGCUGAUCUGUACAGUGCCAUCCCAGACCUGUGGAACCAGUGGGGGCAAGACAGAUCCCUCCCAGGAGAGAUCUUCAGACUACUUGCUGUACCUGCAACCAGGAGCUCCUGUGGGCCAAGAACAUGGGUUCUAUUUUCGUGCUUUGCCGGAGACAUGACACAGGCGCAGCGUAAGUCAGGUCUGCCAGGCCGACAAGGCGUUCCCAAGCACAAUUUGGUAUUUUGGUGGGGGAGGGGGAGGGAGAGAGGAGGAGCUGAGGGGAAAACUGGUUGGGUUGACAUUCAAGAUUUCUCCCAAAAACUGGCACUUCCGUAGAUCCUGCCUACCCCACCUUUAGGCAAAAUAUGUCUUAUUUAAAAACUUGUGUAUGAAUUUAGAAUUGUAAAAAAUAUAUUUACAUAAAUAAAAAUAAUUAUCUGUACUGUAAAUUAAAUUCACAUUUAGUAGCAGUACUAUUAGGAAUUCCCUACAGUGCAGCCAAAGAAAUCCACCGUCUCGAAGCGAACUAGAUGAAGGACUCAGAAACAUCUCUCUUCCUUAUAUUACCUUAAACAUACUGAGGGACAAUUUCUUGUCCUUUGAGUCUGUUAAGCUUCUUUUGGUGAACAUUGCACACAGCAAUGCCAUAAAGUCUUUCAUGGUUGAUCGCAACCAUGUUUUCAAUCUGUGUAACCCGCUAAAAUUGUGCUGUGCUUGAGCAGAUGAUAUGGGUACCACCAUCAACAACCUCACUAGUGUCCCUACCUGAUCAAACAGGCCACAGACUUCAGGGGGCAUUUCUUUCAAAGCAUGCACAGCAUCUGUGGUUGUGUUGAACUUGCUUUUAAACAAGUCUUUCUCUUUCAUUUCAAGAAAUCUGCGAACUGCUGUAUCAUUUGAUAUGGAACUCAGGUAAGUUUUCCAGUUCUUUUGAUGUUUGAUUGCCUGGUUGCAGACCCUACUCUGUAAAAAUCCACAGCUGACCCAGGUGUGUAUGCAGGAGCCUACCCAGAAUACCCUUAAGGGGGCCUAUGUGUGUGGGGUGGAACAAGGGGCUAUAGAGACCGAUUGCCACACCUGUCCUCUGCCUUCUUAAAGACUGCCUCAAAGUAUGUUGUGUUUUUCUAAGAUUUCAAGCUGUCUUGGCCCAAGGAGACUGCAGACAGCAUGCCCUUGGUUGUCUAAGUCUUUUUCAGGAGAGAUGUGUUCAGAAGUUGUAGCUCACUGAUCACAUCUAAAGCAAGCAGAAGUCCCAGUACAACAUUACCCUGUUGCAGUCGAACAUGUAAGCCCUCUGCCUUGCUUGCAGACUCAUCUCAUCUCAUCUAGUGCACCAUCCCGUAUUGGCCGAUGGUGUUGGCAGAUCCUUUUCAGUUGCAUCCCCCAGGUUUCUGUCCUGGGGCCACUGUUGUUCUCUCUUUACAUAAUUCCACUUAUCUUAGGAGUUUUGAAGUUUUAUCUUAUCAUUUAUAUGCAGAUGACAUUCAGCUGUACAUGUCUUUUAAACCUAAUAAUGUCUCUAAGUUGUCCAUUUUAAUUGAAUGUGUGAACUUUAUUAAGGCAUAGAUGGCAAAUAACUGUUUUCAGUUAAAGGCUGACAAAACAGAGGUUCUUAUCUCAGCACCUAAGCAUGUUGUGCCAAAUGUGAUGAAAAGUCUUAAUGUCCUAUCCUCUGCCGUAAAACCCUCCCUCUGAAACCUGGGUGUCCAAAUGGGCCAGGCCCAAAGUCUGGAGAAGCAUGUAAAUGGACUGGUUCACUAUUUUUUUUAACCAUUUAAGGAAUAUAUCAAAGCUCAGACCCCAAGUGUCCAGGAAUGAGCCUUUAUUUAAUCUCGUCUGGAUUAUUGUCAUUCUUUGUUCACCUGUUUAAAUACCACUUCUUUGAACCGGCUGCAAGUGGUUCAAAAUGCUGCAGCUAAAUUCCUGACAAGAUCUUUCUCAUGCCACACCCAUCCUCAAAAGUCUUUACACUGGCUCCCCGUUCAAUUCAGAAUCCAAUUUGAAUGACUUAUUUUUGUGUACAAAGCUUUGCACAGACAAGUCCCAAUGUAUAUCAGAGACCUGCUAAAGCCAUAUAACUCCAGCAGGACUUGAAGAUCCUCUGAUCAGGGUUUGCUGGUUUUCCCUCAGACCAGGCUCCGAACUAAAGGAGACUGUGCAUUUGAGUUGUUUGCUCUGUAACUUUGGAACUCUCUCCCUUGUGAACUAAGAACUGUGGACACUGUGGUUACUGUCAAAAAAGCAGUUAAAAACCCAUUUGUUUCAACUUGCCUUUGUAUGACCAGGACUUUGGAGGCUAGUAUGCUAUUUGUAGAUGUUUAUGUCUUGUCAUCCUAUCCUCUUUAACUUUGUGACAACUGUUCUUGAACGGCGCUAUAUAAAUACAGUUCAUAAUUAAUCAAUUAUUAUUAUUCUUCCUUUUGUCUCUAUUCCUCAUUGAGUCUUUUUUCUCCUGGGGCUGCCCCCUGGCAGAUCUUUCCUUGACUGACUGGGCCUGGGGCCUGCCUCACUAUCAUCAGGAAUUGCCUGCAGGACAGGAGGAUAAUAUUAAUAUCUUCAAUCUCAUAAUUAAAUUUUCGAAAAGAGAGUCUAAAGGAGAAUCCGACAAUAAACACAACAAAACAUGGGUAAAUAUUGGAGCAGUGUUUCAGAGAUGGAGACAACUGCAGGAUGGCAAGCUGGAUUCCAAGCUCGCUCUUCAUCUCCUGGACUGGUAUGCUAAUUUCAUUUUCCCGUAAUAUUUAAAUGUAUUGUGGUGCCUGUAAGCAGUCAUAGCUGGCGUACGGGUGAUGAUGUAUUGAAGAGGUUGUAGAAUGUGACAUUUUAGUCAUAUUGCACACCUACAGUCGCCAGUGUCUGCAUGGUAGUCUGUUGGCAUCUACAGUAGCACCAAUGCUAUUUACUUUCAUAUUGACUGAGCCCCAUUUGUAGUUAUCUAAAGCAGUGGUCCCCAACCUUUUUUGCGCCACGGACCAGUUUAAUGUCAGACAAUAUUUUCACAGACCGGCCUUUGGUGUGCGGGAUAAAUACAACAAAGUAAAAUGUUACGACCAAUACAAACACUAUGGUAUUUUGUAAAUAUAAUAAUAAACGUGAAUCCACUGUGUACUUCUAUGUAACUUUAUUAGCAGCGUCCUCCUGACAUGCGUCAACAACAUAAUAAGAGUAACAUCCUCUUUGCCCCCGAAUGCUCUCUGGUUGCUAUGGUAACGCUUAAACAUGCCCUCAAAAUAAGAUACACCACGAAACAAAUAUAAAGUACAUGAAAAAUACAACUCACCAAAACGCUAGAUCAAUGAGAGCCCUGAGCAUGUUUCUCUGCAAUGAGACGGUCCCAUCUAGGGGUGAUGGGAGACAAUGACACCCAAAGUGUGUUGCUUAUGUCCAGUCUACUCCGUAACUUUGUUUUGGUUGCUGUGACUACAGAAACCCCGCUUCACACAGAUAAGAUGUCGGAAAUGGCAACAGGGUUUUCAGUGCUGUUGUGGCAAUCUCUGGGUACUCUGCUAUUACUUCUAUCCAGAAUAUCGGCAGAGUUGAUUUCUUCAACAGAUUUUUAAGGCCUCCGUCAUUUGUGAUCUCCAACAGUUGAUCUUCUUCUUGCACAGACAUGCUGGAUUCGCCUGGUUUAUUGACAAAUGGGUCGGGAAUCCAUUCCUUGUCAGUCCGUGGGUCUUUGUGGUUGGGAAGUAGUGCUUGGACUCUUUUGAAAGAAAAGACAGGUGAUCAUGCACCAGCUGGGAGAAUGACUGCUUAGGCUGAGUCUCUUCCAAAAUGUUUGAAACAGGUCAAAUAUGCCCCUGUUCACGCGUUGUCUCCACAAAUCCAGUUUGGCUUUAAAUGCAGCUACUUUAUCUGCCAACUUUAAGUCAGUUGUUAUUUUCCCCUGAAGGCACAGAUUGAGUUCAUUGAGCAGGCUGAAUACGUUGCACAAGUAAGCGAGUUUUGUGACCCACUCCCUGUCACUGAAAUGUGCUGCCAGCGGUGACUUCUUUUCUGAGAGAAAUCUCUGCAGCGGCUCUCGUAAUUUAAACACUCUGGCAAGCGAUCUCCCUCGGGAUAACCAUCUUAUUUCUGAGUAUAAGAGAAGGCAUCUGUGCUCUGCGUUCAUCUCCUCACAAAGUUGCUUGAAUAGGCGUGAGUUAAGGGCGUGUGCUUUGAUGUGGUUAAUAACUUAAACAACAUCAUUCAAUACGCUUCUCUGUGAAUGACACAAUGUGUAGAUUCACAUUCAGGUGUAACCUCCUUAAUCCGAGCAGUUAAACCAGACAGCUGUCCAGUCAUGGCAGCAGCUCCAUCUGUGCAUAUGCCGACACAAAAAGACCCUUUAAGUUUUCCUGAUACAUAGUCAUCUAGCGACUUAAAUAAUUCUGUGGCUGUGGUUUUGGUUGUCAAUGAUAGUGCACACAACAUACCCUCAUGCACAUCCUCCUAAUAAUGGUAUCGCAUAUAAACAAGUAGUAUUGCCUUGUUGUCCACAUCUGUGGACUCGUCAACCUGCAGUGUGUACCACGGUGAUGUAUUAAUCCUCUCCAACAACUGUGUCUCAAUGUCCUCUGCUAUUUCUUCAAUGCACCGAGGGACAGUGCUAGUCGACAGAGGCACCUGUGCAAUGUUUUUAACUGCAGCCUCUCCGAAAAGUUAACAGCAAAUGUCUUAAGUCGCGGGAAGGUUCAAUUCUUCACCAAUAGUAAAUGGCGUUUUAGCCUUAGCAAUAUGGUCAGCCACCAAGUAUGACACUCUCAGUGCACUUGCAGUUGUUGAUGUGGAGGCCCUCAGUAAUUGCUUCUGCCCUUCUUGUUCCUGCUUUUAUCUUUCAGAAUACUCCAAAAGCUUGUUUUUUUAAUACAGGGUGCUUGGUCUCCAAGUGGCGAAGUGUUAGAAUAAUGUGCAUAAAUGUAUAUAGAAGUUAUCAUUAUUCCUCAUAUUCUUAUGUAAGAGUUUAUACUACAAGUGUAAACUGCUUUGACCUCUUUUAAUACAUUAUAUAAGAGUAUUUUUAUCAUAUAAGAGUGUUUCCUAACUUCUCUCUCCAAUAGAUUUACUACACAGCAGAACAAUGUUCUUUCAGUUUUCUGUGACUGUGUCUUUCCUAUCAGCAGGUGGGGGUGUGUGAGUGAUGGAUCCUCCGCUAUAAAUCGUGGGGAGUUUUUGAGGAGGUGCCGCUGUUAUCAGAAGGAGCUCGUUAGAUGCCGCCUUGACUUUCACAUAUUCACAAGUGUUCAUUAUUAUGCUUUAUGAGAGUGCUUACGUUGCUACACAUAUUUUUCUCCACCCUUUUAGAAACAUUGUGUAACCAGGGACAAGACUAAAUAAAAGAGACUGGGCGGAAAUACCUUUAGAGUGGUUUCGACAUGGUACCUGAAGCUAUCUCGGUCCAUUCUCCUCGAGCAUA
RNAcentral lists this long non-coding RNA (5671 nucleotides) under Xyrichtys novacula (pearly razorfish). Lineage: Eukaryota; Metazoa; Chordata; Actinopteri; Labriformes; Labridae. The record is from RNAcentral.